UGUUAGGUCUUUUUAUUUCUAAUGAAAGAGAACAUUCUUUCGAUGUAGUGUGGCUAAAACAAAAUGAGACGAGCUAUGGAGAAGCUAUGGAGAAGGAUAAACCACCACUCACCGACCAAGAAGAAACGGAAAGGGAAUGAAGUGGAUGUAGACCAAUCUGCAAUUUACCGGAUUAGCAGCUGUGUGGAUAUGUGAUUGAAGAUGUACAUGUAUCUGAGAUCCUUCUUCAAGUGCCUCACAUUUUCAGAGAACCACUGUUAAAAAGGAAUACAUGGGACUACCAAUUUUGGAUUACAUCUGGAUUGAGAGUGCACUUUCACAGAGGGAGUCCACUGCAUAGGUGAGCAGAGAUGAACUCCAACACCAAUGCUAGAAUGAUCAACAGUGGUGUUCAUUCCACCAGUGAACCUGGCCCCACCCCUCCCCCUUUACCUCCCGGUGGACCCCCUAGCCUGAUGGCAACGGGGGCAUCUUUUCCCCCAUCAUCAGUGGGCGGUGCCCCUGGUGGGGUAAUGGGUGGUGGCGGUGGGCCUGGAGUUACCAGGACGGGACAGUCCAGUGGAUUUGGGGUGUGGUGCGAGAGGUGUAACAGUCGGCUGGUCGAGCUGAAGAAGCAGGCCGUGAGAUUGAUGGUCAUGCAUCCAAACCUCAUGAAAUUGGCAAUGAAGGUAAGACCUAAUUCCUGUAAAAUCUUUUAACUCAGGACUUUGCAAAGAUCUUGAGUAUAUUUGUGGUACUCAGAUGCCAGAUGAUACACCGAUCAACAUGUUGUAAAUGCUUUAACAAAGGGACUUUGAUGAAACGAAAUGAACAGUCCGCUCCCAUUUAUUUUCAUCUUCAUUAGAUGUAGAACUAUUAUGUACACGUUCCUCCAUAAUGUGAACUUCAUCUUCAUAGCUAACAUAUUUCUAUAUUAGAAUAGAUGUAUUUUUCAAAGGUACAUGUAUAUAGGAUGAAGAGUGAAGAGAUCUUGCUUCCUAUAUCCAAUGCAAGUGCAUCAAAUAUCUACUCUCUCAGCUUAUUAAACUGAAUAGUGCUAUUAUAUGCGUAGGCCUGUGUUUGUGUGAGACAUAUUUUAUGUAUGAUUGUGGAAGUGGUCAUUACAUUUGUUUUUAAUUUUUUUUAUGGGACAUAUAUUUUUGCACACACUAUUUGGGGGGGGGGUUAAAGUCUUUUAGUUGUGUGAUUAAAUUAAUAAAGGUUGGUUGGAUAAGGUUAUGAUAAGUUACAUACAUUUCUGAUGUGAAAAAUUGAACAUACUUGUAGGGUCAUGUAAAGUUCCUAAUAGUUGCCAUCUCUCUUCCGGAAGCACAUACCAAAGCAAUAGAUUGAGCCAACAUUACCUGUGCUGAUACCCAGAAGCCUUUUCUACAUGCCAUUAAAGAUAAUACAUAUCUAUUUAACCUUCUUCAUUGUGGUCCUAAUGUGUGUUCCUUAGAUACGAAUGGUAGAUAAUGACAUGCAGACCCCAAAGGAAGGGAAUGAAGCCUGUAUUGAUUCAGGUGUUGUGGUCGCUAUCAAUGAUGGUCUCAGAAUGUCUUUGCUUGGAUUAACUCACCUAUAGAUAAACCACAGUCGCACCAACGAAACCGACUCCAGACCGUCCGAUGGUAUGUCAUUGGAAAACAACACGAUGGCUUUGGUCGGUCUGGGGUCGGUUUCGCCGUUGUGACUGUAGUCCUUGCAUAUUCUGCUUUUUGAAAUUUAGUUUAUUAAGCCAGCAACAUGCAUAUGAGGUAUAUGUCAUGGACCGCUCCUUGACGAGACCAUUUAGAGAAACCAUGAUGAUAUCCAUUGUAUUAACCCAUUGGCGUCUGAAUGAUGUUGUUACAAGUAUGUUUUCCAUUGACACUAGCCAGCAUUUAUAAGGGAGCUCGUCCUCCAACGUGUUAACCAGCAGAAUCAGUGCAUGUGUGGAGGGAUAUUUUUCUUUUGCAUACGUAGUGUAUACAUCACCAUUCCCAAAUUGAUGAAGCAUUGAUCAUCAUCAUGUGGGAUGAUGGAUGCCCCAUGAGGAUGGAUGAGGACUGAUAAUCUGUAUUCAAAAGGCUCUUCAUAUUAGAGCACAUGGCUAGUAAUGUUGAUACCUUCAUGUGUAGCUCUAUUUUUAUAUUGAAUAUAAACUAUAGAGAGAUUCAUAUCCACCCAGUCACAAGUUUUCUUCUUCAAGCUGCACUGCCUCCUUCAAUUCUAAAGAUUCUGGCAGGUGCAAUACACAUUUAAAUAACGAACACCCUCCUCUUCUACAAAAAGUUGGUUUUAACAUGCAUAGGUUGUAACUGUCCUACACAUGAUAUAUAAGUAUUUGCAUCCUUUCCGAUGGAUGGAGUGUUUUCCAACUGCAUUACACCUGCACUGAAUAAAUAGUUCAAUGUAUAGUUUGCAGAAGUCCAAGUAUUGAUAUCAACAGUUACAUGUCGUUUACUGAUUGUAUAUUUUGUCACAAAACACAGGAUUAAAAAAACGCCCCACAGAAUCGGUAUCAAAAACUGAAGCCCCCAAUCGUUGAGAAUUAUAUAGAAUAAUUUCAAACAACAAUGACUUAAAACUAAAACAUGGGUUUAGUGAAUGUGAACCGUUUCUAUAAUACGAAGGAAGGCACCUAUUGCUAGAAUGGGUUUUUAAAUGUGCAUCGGAUGGAGGGGUCAGUCAACUGCAUAGACCGUGCCUUGAAUGCAAGCGCCCCAAUUGAAUAGUGGUCAUUAGCUAGCCAAUGGGCAAUAUGAUCUCCCCCAGGGGAGUGAUGUUACAUUCAUGAAGUAUUACUCCUUGGCACAGUGACUGGCUGAUUCAAAUGGAUUCAGCUUAAAUCACUCAUUAAUUCUUUGACUGUCCAUCCUAUGUCCUUGCUUGAAAUAUCAUCUUUUAUUAUGCUCUCUCUUCAUUCUUCCCUUCUAUAGGCCUAUAUAUAAUUCAACUUUCAUCACUUGAAUACUGGCUACUUGUACAAAGAUUAGAAAGAUUGAUGAAUAACUUCAACUUUCUGGCUCUACGUUUAUUAAUCUGGUUGUAUAUGUAUUUAUAUCUUCCUUUGAAAAGCUCAGACUUGUCAUUAAAAAAAAUAAUUGAAUUUUAAUUCUUUUCUCUUCCUUGCCCUUUUCUGUGAUUGAACUUUCCUUCAUUGGCAUGCUGGAUUUGUUGAUUUUGUUUCUUUGUUAAUAACAUUAUUUCACUUGUUGUUGAUCUGAGUGGCGUAUAACAAUUUCUGUCAGGAAAAAUGGGUCAAGGGUCACCAAAAUAGAAGAAAAUGGCAUGCAAUUGUAUUUAGUAAAGGGGGAGUCCAAGGCCCUUUCACUGCCCAUGGGUCCACCCCCGAUUCAUACAUGUAGUACUUUUUUUGCUUUGCUUUUUGUGUCAAUGUUGUGUGCUCAUUUAAAAUGAGGACCUUUCUUAUGAAAAAAGCGGGGGUUUCAAUAAUUAUUCAUCUCUGUCUGGAUUACAGUAUUUUAAUCUUCUUUCAUGGGGUAUCUGUAACCUUUAUUUCUUUUCUCUCCUGCUUAUCUUGUUAUUACUUUUGAAGAUUAAUUGAUCAUUCCAGCAAAUUGGUUUUCUGAUUAAUCUGAUUUUGUUAUUGAAGACAAUUUUUUUUUAAUGGAAUAGUAAGAAAUCAGUGUUUGUAUAAAAAGCAAUCUUUAUAUUCUGAUUGACUUCCUUUGUAAUCUUUAUUCGAUGGUAUUUGGAGGAUCCUGAUUUUCUUAUUCAUCAAAUUUUGAAUAAUUGAUUUGUUAUUCGAUGAACUUAUUAUUAUUUUACUAAGAGAGGAUAUCCUCUCAUUACAGGUGCCUUCCCAAAAAAAAACCCUUAAUUCUAUCUCUUUCAUUUUUGUCUCCAUUCUUAGCUUUUUAUUCUUAUUUGUGAUGCUUCAUGUUUUAUAGAACAUAAACAUCGAUUGUGACAUCAUUCUUUUGAAAAAUCUCAAGGCUGGUGAUGCUCAACAUUAUCACAAUGAAGCCACUAGAGAUUGGAAGAAUGUUGUUUUUUUUAUAAAAGGGGGAGGGGUGAGGGAUAAGCCUUUUUUUAUGAAAUCAAAGAAAAUGGACAGGUACCAAUAACAAUAAGAUAAAUGAAAAUGCAUCAGCACAUGGCGGUUAAUGAAGAAGAAUGUAUUGGAAGAAAGAACGUGAUAGAGCCUUGAAGAGAGGUGGGUGGGGUGGAAGUUAAAAUGAGAGAAUUAAAGAGAGAAAGAAAAUGUUUGUGGGUGUUUCUGAAGGGGGGAGGUGCAACAGCAAGUUUGGCAUAACCAGCAAAGCCAUAAAAGGGUGACAGAUUUUGUGACAACUUGCUAGAGUCCCAGCUUAGAAAUAAAAGAAAAAAGAAACUCUAAUGUAAAUCCUUCACUUUUAGGAAUUCUACACUUAAUUGGCUUGAUGGAGAAGGUUCAGAAUCUGCACCGUUCGCAUGAUGGAGGAUAAUACAGUGGGCGGAGCUCCCAUUAGGGAAAUGUUUCUCUCUUUUUUGUCUUCAUGAUAAUCUAUGUUAAAUAGCUUGUAUUUUGUUGCCAUGGUGUUUCAUGUAGAGUAUGAGUUAACUACAUCAAGUGAGUCACUAUUAUCUUACAUUAUCUGAGGUGGGGGCUGCACAUAGUCAUGUGACCACACAGAAGACAGGUCAUGUGAUUAAAAAAGAUGAAUUUGAUAGACCUUACACGAAAAUAGAACAUUGGUUGUAACUCCUUUUGAUUUAAUUACUUAAUUGGGUGUGAUAAUUAUGACCUUUCAUGGAUCAUCUUGUCAUCAUACUGUGUGUAUCUUUUAAUUAUGUGACUCAUCUUAUGUAGUUUCCCCCUCCUCACUCUUUACCUCCUUCUGUGACUGGAACAGAAAAUAAGUUUUUACUGGGCAAUUCCAUAAAAUAAUCAACCUUUUUGUACGUCCGACCGCCAUUUUUAUCAAGUUUUACUUCACUUCAUAAACUGACCAAGUCAUGGUCAUUAGAGAGCAUUACAGACUGUCAAAAGAACAAGAAAUCAGAGACAGAAAAUUUCAUGAAGGUCCCACAUAAAGGGGGUCGGAUGUACAUAUUUUAUGGAAUUGCCCUACUGCAAAAUUAGUUUCUAUUCUUAGUAUUGGGCUGAGCAAUUUGUUAGCAUCCUUGAAAUGUUUCUCCAGAUGAGCAAGUGAGAUGAAUUAACUGCAAUUAGAGUUGCUGGAUAAGUUUUGAUUUAAUUGUGAUGCUAUCCAGCAGGCAAAGAGAUCAGUUCUAACCAAGUAAUAUACAGGUUGCAGAGUAAGGGCAGUUUCUUCCAUUUAAUAGAUAGAACCAGAGAAAUGAUCAAAAUCCAGAUGUAUUCAACCUUGCAUUCAGAAAUUAGUCUGGUUGUUCCAAUCUUUAAUCAAACCAAUACUUUAUAAGAAUAUACUAUGUUGAACUUUCAAAGUGUUUUUUUUAUUUUCGCGAUGAAAGGAAAUUUACUGACAGUGAAAAAUAUGUGGUAAAAUAUGUCGUCAUCAAAUACAGCAUUUGUUAUGUAGGAGUCAAGGGCCACAACAAAUAUGACAGGGUGGUGGGAAGACCCAUGCAAUGGACGGUCAUAUUGUGCACAUUUCUUGAAAAAAAAAUGGUGGUCUGAAGCCC
Long non-coding RNA from Lytechinus pictus (painted urchin), 5574 nucleotides. RefSeq lists it as uncharacterized. The transcript is spliced from 3 exons. NCBI's taxonomy places the organism in Eukaryota, Metazoa, Echinodermata, Echinoidea, Temnopleuroida, Toxopneustidae. The record is from RefSeq and is a predicted model, not a curated record.